This 511-nucleotide long non-coding RNA is filed under the name Homo sapiens (human). RNAcentral's name for it is "non-protein coding lnc-MFAP2-53:12". Lineage: Eukaryota; Metazoa; Chordata; Mammalia; Primates; Hominidae. The record is from RNAcentral.
UUCGCCCGCCCUGCCCCUCGCCUGCUUCAGAAGCUUCCAGGAACUCCCGGGUCGGCGACCCAGCCCGAGCCGCCUGGGGCCCCAAGGGAAGCUGAACGCCCUGUGGGCUCCUGGGAUGGUUCUUCCCGUUCUUUGCGCCGCCUUCACCCAUUGAAGAGCCUGUGCCCACCCUGCCCAGUCGCUCUCGGGGCCGCGGAGGAGCUUCCGCUGCCAUCUUCGGAUCCUGUGUUCCGCACGGGGGCUCCACCAGGGCAGGGAUGGUGCAGAAUGGGGAAAUGGAGAGAGAACCUGAAAGAGCCCCAAACUCGAGGACCUAUUGCUCCCCAAGAAUAACAUCUUCCAGAAGAACUAGACAGAAAACUAGGCGUCUGGGAACUCUGAAAUCCUUGGAGGAGUAGCAUCAUCAUGACCCUCUGUGUUCCUUUUGGCAAAGGACUUGCUCCCAUUGUUUGCUUGUUCCAUUGUCUGUCUGUUAAAUAAAUAAAACCCUUUUCAUAUAUCUUUAAACUUA